UGCUCUAAUUCUCUGAGCAAAAGGCUGAAGAAACCAUAUGACAAGAAUACGUGAAGGCUUCUCCAGUCUGUCCCUUUUAGAUGCCAUUGCUUUGAGCAGGACCCAGGCACACUCCUGCCUGCUCUGCCUCUUUGAAAGGGCAGUAUUAGGAGAGUGAUCUCAUCAGGGCCACACGAACCUGGUCCUUUGGCUAGGGGCCUGGGCCAAACCCCACCCCCUGGCACACCUGGUCAGGCAGGUAUAAAAGAGGGAACCAGCUUCAGCUCCCACAGCAGCUUCUCUCUGGCAUCAUGCAUUCUACUGGCCUCUUCUCCCUUCUCCUGCUCCUGGUUCUUGGGACCCUGAUGUCUGAGGCUACCAAAGCCACAACUCCUAUUAAAGGACUUCCUCCUCAACAAACACUCAUCAAAGGUCUUGUCACAUCGAAGGACUCUUCCACGAGCAAGCCUCAUCCUAUUAAGGGAUCUUCCAACAAAUUCAGUGGUUCAACCAAGUUUCAUUCUUCAAUCAACCUUCCUAUAACCAAAAGCCUAAGUUCUGGGAAGUCAGGUACUUGGCCACCUCCAUCCCCCAACCAGUGUGUCCUUCGUAAAAGAAGAGCUGGGCUCGUCGGUAGAGAAAAGUUGACUUGUGAAGACUUGGUGAGGGAGAAGGGGGAAUGAGGAGGGGAGUAUGGAGAGGAACCUGGCAAGAGUGGCUCAGAGCAGAGUGAAGAGACUUCAUUGAAAUAAUGAGUAACACAAACACUAAUAAUAGCAAUAAUUGAGAUGUGGACAGCCUUUGGGUUGUGGGAGAGGGUCUAAAGUACAGUAGAAGGAGCCCUGGCUUGCGUAACAGAAGGUCUGGGCUGCCACCUUAGUCGGGCAUUAGAAUACAGCAGAAAAAAAUGGAUUUAGCCUUGGUGAAGGGGAGUUUACUUCUUGGCACAACCACUUCCUCUCUCCAGGCCUCAGUUUCCUCUUUUUCAAAAUGAGGGGAUUAGGAAUCAUGAUUGCUAAGGUCUUUUCUAAUACUAAAUCUAUAAUUUAAUGAUCCUGCCAUGAUGUUGGGUUGAAAAACAAUUUCUUUCUCAACCUGGGCCCUGAUAUUUGUUAAAUCUCUGCUUUGUGUGAAAGAAAGAUCCCUGAGACCUUUCCCUGAUCUAACAUUCUAUAUUCUGAGGCCCCUCCUAUCUCUGAUGUUUCUAGGUUUUAAGAUCCCUCUCAGCCUUAUCAUUCUGUAUCCUAAGGCCCUUCCAGCACUGAUAUUUCAUGUUCAAAACUGCCUCCAAGCUACGACAUUUUAUGAUUCUGUGACUUCUACUUUUCAAUGUUCUAUAUUAUCUAAUAUCUGAGAAUUUCCCUAAGGAAAAGAAAUUAGACUUCCUUCCCACAGCCCUAGAGGAAAGAACUAAGAAUGACUGGGAGAUUCCCUUCCCUUCCCUUCUUUCUACUAAACAGCAGCACCUCUGAGAAAGAGCUAAGCCCCUGAAAUUGGGCAGGCGCCAAAGGGGAUGGCUCUUUUAGGGUUGUGUAUAUGGGAGGCAGUUUAUACAGUAGGGCAUGCUAGUCUGACCCCAAAGCUCUGUCCCUGGACUAACCCUUUUGUCUCUCCUCAGGUAAAGUUCAUAUGUGAUGCCAUGGAGUGUUGGAGCUCACUGAAGCUCUCUCCUGCCUUCCAGUUUUCUCCUUUGUAUCUCUGAGUGGAAGAAGCUUUCUCCUUCCCAAAGUCCUUUCUUUUAAUCACUAAUAAAGAUGCCAAAUUCCCCUGCA
Monodelphis domestica (gray short-tailed opossum) is the source of this 1751-nucleotide long non-coding RNA. The record is from Ensembl. Lineage: Eukaryota; Metazoa; Chordata; Mammalia; Didelphimorphia; Didelphidae.